CUCGAGCGGUAACAGAUCUAGACUUGCUAGUAUGCUGCACGAGCGGCGGACGGGUGAGUAAUGCAUAGCGAAACUGCCCAGUAGUGGGGGAUAGCCCGGGGAAACCCGGAUUAAUACCGCAUACGUACCUUCGGGAGAAAGCAGGGGCUCUUCGGACCUUGCGCUAUUGGAUGUGCCUAUGUCGGAUUAGCUAGUUGGUGGGGUAAAGGCCUACCAAGGCGACUAUCCGUAGCUGGUCUGAGAGGAUGAUCAGCCACAUCGGGACUGAGACACGGCCCGAACUCCUACGGGAGGCAGCAGUGGGGAAUAUUGGACAAUGGGGGCAACCCUGAUCCAGCCAUGCCGCGUGUGUGAAGAAGGCUUUCGGGUUGUAAAGCACUUUCAGUGAGGAGGAAAACCUUAUGGUUAAUACCCAUGAGGCUUGACGUUACUCACAGAAGAAGCACCGGCUAACUCCGU
Molecule: ribosomal RNA, 459 nt
Filed under: marine sediment bacterium ISA-7129
Lineage: Bacteria
Description: bacterial SSU rRNA
Rfam family: Bacterial small subunit ribosomal RNA
Source: RNAcentral